CUCAGUACCCACAACAGCGAGUAUGGAUUCCCCUGAAUUAUCCUUCAAGAAAUAGUGUACCACACGAUUGCCCCUCUCUUUUGACAUAUAUUGCUCUUUCCACUCCACGAAGUAGUGCUCAGUUGCAGCCAUAUUUUGAUAAAACAAAAGAAUCCUUGACUGGAAUUAGCCUUCACAACCCAUCAGAGUACCCAAAAAACCCUAAUUUACAAAGUAAAGCUGUCCUAAGACAAUACUGCAAACGGG
Molecule: long non-coding RNA, 246 nt
Filed under: Olea europaea (common olive)
Lineage: Eukaryota; Viridiplantae; Streptophyta; Magnoliopsida; Lamiales; Oleaceae
Description: long non-coding RNA (OEUR_LNC011821)
Source: RNAcentral